This 929-nucleotide ribosomal RNA is filed under the name uncultured bacterium. Its description in RNAcentral is "bacterial SSU rRNA". It matches the Rfam family "Bacterial small subunit ribosomal RNA", at positions 1 to 898 of the family's 1533-position model. The record is from RNAcentral.
CCCUUAGAGUUUGAUCCUGGCUCAGGACGAACGCUGGCGGCGUGCCUAAUACAUGCAAGUCGAACGAAGCUUUCUUUCACCGAAUGCUUGCAUUCACCGAAAGAAGCUUAGUGGCGAACGGGUGAGUAACACGUAGGCAACCUGCCCAAAAGAGGGGGAUAACACUUGGAAACAGGUGCUAAUACCGCAUUACCAUGAAACCCCGCAGGAUGUUCAUGUAAAAGACGGCUUUUGCUGUCACUUUUGGAUGGGCCUGCGGCGUAUUAACUUGUUGGUGGGGUAACGGCCUACCAAGGUGAUGAUACGUAGCCGAACUGAGAGGUUGAUCGGCCACAUUGGGACUGAGACACGGCCCAAACUCCUACGGGAGGCAGCAGUAGGGAAUCUUCCACAAUGGACGAAAGUCUGAUGGAGCAACGCCGCGUGAAUGAAGAAGGCCUUCGGGUCGUAAAAUUCUGUUGUCAGAGAAGAACGUGCGUGAGAGUAACUGUUCACGUAUUGACGGUAUCUGACCAGAAAGCCACGGCUAACUACGUGCCAGCAGCCGCGGUAAUACGUAGGUGGCGAGCGUUGUCCGGAUUUAUUGGGCGUAAAGGGAACGCAGGCGGUCUUUUAAGUCUGAUGUGAAAGCCUUCGGCUUAACCGAAGUAGUGCAUUGGAAACUGGAAGACUUGAGUGCAGAAGAGGAGAGUGGAACUCCAUGUGUAGCGGUGAAAUGCGUAGAUAUAUGGAAGAACACCAGUGGCGAAAGCGGCUCUCUGGUCUGUAACUGACGCUGAGGUUCGAAAGCGUGGGUAGCAAACAGGAUUAGAUACCCUGGUAGUCCACGCCGUAAACGAUGAGUGCUAAGUGUUGGAGGGUUUCCGCCCUUCAGUGCUGCAGCUAACGCAUUAAGCACUCCGCCUGGGGAGUACGGUCGCAAGACUGAA